GACGAACGCUGGCGGCGCGCUUAACACAUGCAAGUCGAGCGAAGCGGCGGACGGGUGAGUAACACGUGAGUAACCUGCCUUAGACAUUGGGAUAGCCUCGGGAAACCGGGAUUAAUACCAAAUGGUCUAAGAUGGACUCGCGUCCCAUUCGCUAGUUGGUGAGGUAACGGCCCACCAAGGCGAGGAUGGGUAGCCGGCCUUAGAGGGUGAACGUGCACAUUGGCAGUGGGAAACUGACCAAACUCUACGGGAGGCAGCAGUGGGGACUAUUGCACAAUGGAGUGAACUAUGAGGCGGCGACGCCUCGUGAACGAAGAAGGCUUUAGAGUCGUAAAGUUCUUUUAUAUGGGAAGCGGUACCAUAAUAAAAAGCCCCGGCUAACUACGUGCCAGCCGCCGCGGUAAUAC
Molecule: ribosomal RNA, 407 nt
Filed under: uncultured bacterium
Lineage: Bacteria
Description: partial 16S ribosomal RNA
Rfam family: Bacterial small subunit ribosomal RNA
Source: RNAcentral